GGGCCCGCACAAGCGGUGGAGCAUGUGGUUUAAUUCGACGCAACGCGCAGAACCUUACCAGGCCUUGACAUCCCGUGCUACCUCCUGAGAGGGAGGGUCCCCGCAAGGGGCGCGGAGACAGGUGCUGCAUGGCUGUCGUCAGCUCGUGUCGUGAGAUGUUGGGUUAAGUCCCGCAACGAGCGCAACCCUCGCCUUUAGUUGCCAUCAUUUAGUUGGGCACUCUAAAGGGACCGCCGGCGACAAGCCGGAGGAAGGUGGGGAUGACGUCAAGUCCUCAUGGCCCUUACGGCCUGGGCUACACACGUGCUACAAUGGCGGUGACAGUGGGCAGCGACCACGCGAGUGGAUGCGAAUCCCAAAAAACCGUCCCAGUUCAGAUUGCACUCUGCAACUCGGGUGCAUGAAGGUGGAAUCGCUAGUAAUCGCAGAACAGCAGGCUGCGGUGAAUACGUUCCCGGGCCUU
RNAcentral lists this ribosomal RNA (463 nucleotides) under uncultured bacterium. RNAcentral's name for it is "bacterial SSU rRNA". It matches the Rfam family "Bacterial small subunit ribosomal RNA", at positions 917 to 1382 of the family's 1533-position model. The record is from RNAcentral.